Long non-coding RNA from Amblyraja radiata (thorny skate), 991 nucleotides. RefSeq lists it as uncharacterized. Lineage: Eukaryota; Metazoa; Chordata; Chondrichthyes; Rajiformes; Rajidae. The transcript is spliced from 3 exons. The record is from RefSeq and is a predicted model, not a curated record.
UUGAAGAGAGGAGCUGCUGACGCAAAAUCACAGCUAAAGCUACUCAACUGGAGCUGGAAGCAGCGGCAUUCAUAUACGCCACGUGACCCAAAUACGCACAAGUGCCAUGAAAUUCAGCCCCAAGGAAUGUUUCUAGAUGAACAAACCUACCUCGGCAACAUCUUAUUUCACCGUUGAUUCCUACUGCUAUUUUACACUACACUUCAAAAUAUAUUUUAGGUUUUAUGUCCCAGUUUAUUUUUAUCCUUUACAUUUCUACCUUUUUUUCACGGGAAGAUGUUGUCUACAUUGCAAAUCUGGCACGGCAAAGAUUUUGUUUACAAGCAAAGCCAUGGAAUAUGGGCAUCGAUUGAACUGUGGCCCAAGUCUCUAAAUUCUCCUUAAAACGAAGAAUCCGCAAUGGUACUAAAAUAAUUUGCCAAUGAAGAUUACUCGUUAACCAUUUGCAACCCAGCGUACAUUAUAUUUUAUUCGGUGGCAACGACAUUAUAAUGUUCCAAAAUCAACAUUAAAUCGACUGGGAUUUUAAAUAUAGAUCUGGAAUUCGCUCUUGACUAUUGAUGUUUCUCGAAUACAUUCCGGAACAAAAGUAAAGCACUUUAGCACCUUUCCUGUUGGAGAAGAUCGCAACGUUUAUGACCAGUCCGGCUUCGCGUGCAAAAGUGUGUCGAGUGGUGUCCAAUAGUGUGCGAAGCUCGCUACAAGUGUGAGAAUACCGAACUCGCUUAUAGCAUAAUGUGUGUGAAGAAUGACAUGAUCUACCAUCCAUGUUUAAUUAAGGCUUCUUUCUUGGAUCUGGACUUCAGCAGAGGAAUAUUGGAGCCUUGGGUCUGGACUUCAGCAGAGAGUAACUCUUCCUGUUCAAUUUGAAAUAAACUGGCUACAAGAUCAGGUUACAUAAUUUUAUGCAGAAACAUUUCUACAAUGUGAUAAUGAAAUUAUCACUGUCAUGUGAAGUUUUGUAUUAUAACUAUCAAUUAAAUGAAAAAAA